RNAcentral lists this small nucleolar RNA (124 nucleotides) under Peromyscus maniculatus bairdii (prairie deer mouse). RNAcentral's name for it is "Small nucleolar RNA SNORA25 (ENSPEMG00000001043.2)". The record is from RNAcentral. Lineage: Eukaryota; Metazoa; Chordata; Mammalia; Rodentia; Cricetidae.
GGGACACACGCGUGGGUAAGGAAACAAUGUACCAAAAGCUCUUAACGAUGUGACCAGAGAUCAACUUCUCCACCGAACGAAACAGGCACUCGAUAGUACUGUGUUUUUCUGAGGAGAUACAUGC